Molecule: long non-coding RNA, 636 nt
Organism: Trachemys scripta elegans
Lineage: Eukaryota; Metazoa; Chordata; Testudines; Emydidae
Exons: 3
Source: RefSeq, a predicted model, not a curated record
UCCAUACAUGGUGCAACAAAUGCUGAGGCAUUGCAUCAUGUUGCAAAGUUGGGGGGUUUAUUCUUUCGCAGAAGUGUUAAAUGAUCAGGAGCAGGAUUAUGAACCAAAGUGAAGAAGAAAUCGUGCUCAGCUUGGCCACCCCUGGGGUAAGGCGUGGAAGGGUGAAUGACUUGCCCAACCUCACGAAGCAAGACAAUGGGAGAGUUAGGUCUAGAACCUCGGCAUCCUGGUUCUUACUCUGCUGCUACAAUCAGAACAUCACCUGGCUCAACAUAUGAAGAGGUACCGCAUGAAAGCGCAUUACCGUGCCCUGCAGAGACUGUCAAUAAGGGCAUCCGUCAGUUCCAGCUGUGAAGGUGGUUUUGUAAUUUGCAUACUUGCACACUGGAAAAUGGACAAAGCCCAUGAACUCAUUUCAGAUAGCUACCAAACAGCCACCAGCUGGAAAUAGAUUUUGGUCACGACCCAUGUGGGACAAAUCUGAACCGGUGACCUAAAAAAGGGACCUUAAUCCUAUUACCGGUCUCCUGAGCUGCCGAGGCCUAAUUUAUUGGGUAUUUAAAUAAUUGACCGAUACCUUAGCCUUGCAAAACCAUCAUGAACAUUUACUAGCCCAGGCACAAAAUCUACUUGCCC